This 865-nucleotide ribosomal RNA is filed under the name Hansenula anomala. RNAcentral describes it as "Wickerhamomyces anomalus partial large subunit ribosomal RNA". It matches the Rfam family "Eukaryotic large subunit ribosomal RNA", at positions 54 to 934 of the family's 3401-position model. Lineage: Eukaryota; Fungi; Ascomycota; Saccharomycetes; Phaffomycetales; Wickerhamomycetaceae. The record is from RNAcentral.
AGGAAAAGAAACCAACAGGGAUUGCCUCAGUAACGGCGAGUGAAGCGGCAAAAGCUCAAAUUUGAAAUCUAGCACCUUCGGUGUUCGAGUUGUAAUUUGAAGAUGGUAACCUUGGGUUUGGCUCUUGUCUAUGUUCCUUGGAACAGGACGUCAUAGAGGGUGAGAAUCCCGUCUGAUGAGAUGCCCAUUCCUAUGUAAGGUGCUAUCGAAGAGUCGAGUUGUUUGGGAAUGCAGCUCUAAGUGGGUGGUAAAUUCCAUCUAAAGCUAAAUAUUGGCGAGAGACCGAUAGCGAACAAGUACAGUGAUGGAAAGAUGAAAAGAACUUUGAAAAGAGAGUGAAAAAGUACGUGAAAUUGUUGAAAGGGAAGGGCAUUAGAUCAGACUUGGUGUUUUACGAUUAUCUUCUCUUCUUGAGUUGUGCACUCGUAUUUCACUGGGCCAGCAUCGAUUCGGAUGGCAAGAUAAUGGCAGUUGAAUGUGGCUUCACUUCGGUGGAGUGUUAUAGCUUCUGCUGAUAUUGCCUGUCUGGAUCGAGGGCUGCGUCUUUUGACUAGGAUGCUGGCGUAAUGAUCUAAUGCCGCCCGUCUUGAAACACGGACCAAGGAGUCUAACGUCUAUGCGAGUGUUUGGGUGUAAAACCCGUACGCGUAAUGAAAGUGAACGUAGGUGAGAGCUCUUUUUUGAGUGCAUCAUCGACCGAUCCUGAUGUUUUCGGAUGGAUUUGAGUAAGAGCAUAGCUGUUGGGACCCGAAAGAUGGUGAACUAUGCCUGAAUAGGGUGAAGCCAGAGGAAACUCUGGUGGAGGCUCGUAGCGGUUCUGACGUGCAAAUCGAUCGUCGAAUUUGGGUAUAGGGCGAAAGACUAA